Choloepus didactylus (southern two-toed sloth) is the source of this 550-nucleotide long non-coding RNA. RefSeq lists it as uncharacterized. The transcript has 3 exons. NCBI's taxonomy places the organism in Eukaryota, Metazoa, Chordata, Mammalia, Pilosa, Megalonychidae. The record is from RefSeq and is a predicted model, not a curated record.
GAAGAAAAAAGACCAUUUGGUCAUAUGUUGAAAGAUUCCUGUGGACCUUGUUUCAUUGGGCCCUUGAACCAUGGGAAAGGAUGGUCUCCCAACAGACAUUCUCAGAUGUACAUUCAUAUGUAAGUCCCAGAUUCUGCUCUGCUCCUUAAUCCAGCUCCAGAAGGCUGUAAACUUCUAGUGUAGAAUAUAAUGAAGAGAGAAUCUACCUCAUGGUGUUGGACACUUUUGACAUCCCUGGCCUGUAAUACAUUCUCAAUAAAUGUUGGCUGUUACGAUGAUGUCCCAGGUGAAGAGUCUGAUGAAGAAAAGCCAGGGCUCUCAAGGAGGCAGCACUUUCAAGUCAGUGGAAGAUGUGAAUGACCACAAGGACAGCCUCUGAGGUAGAAACUGUUAGCAGAUGUGUACCUCCACUGGAUAAAUGGUUCUCAUUUGCAUCGUGUCCUAACAGGAUCAUGAGAUUCCUGGAAAGAUAACUUGCUAAAGAUACUUUGGACUUGGCUUUACUACCUAGGUAAGUCUGGCCAGCAUUCUAAUCCUGACUAGACCCAGU